GUUGACCUCGGAUCAGGUAGGAAUA
RNAcentral lists this non-coding RNA (25 nucleotides) under Drosophila melanogaster (fruit fly). Lineage: Eukaryota; Metazoa; Arthropoda; Insecta; Diptera; Drosophilidae. RNAcentral also lists the same sequence under 20 other names. The record is from RNAcentral.